CAGGCCUAACACAUGCAAGUCGAGCGGGUCGCAAGACCAGCGGCAAACGGGUGCGUAACGCGUAAGCAACCUGCCCACUACUGGGGGAUAGCCCGGCGAAAGCGGGGGUAAACCCGCAUGGUCCUCGAGAGUCACCUGGCUUUUUAGGUAAACAUUUAUGGGUAGUGGAGGGGCUUGCGUCUGAUUAGCUAGUUGGCGGGGUAAGGGCCCACCAAGGCGACGAUCAGUAGGGGUUCUGAGAGGAUUGGCCCCCACAUGGGUACUGAGACACGGACCCAACUCCUACGGGAGGCAGCAGUAGGGAAUAUUGGACAAUGGGCGCAAGCCUGAUCCAGCCAUGCCGCGUGAGUGAUGAAGGCCCUAGGGUUGUAAAGCUCUUUCACCGGUGAAGAUAAUGACGGUAUCCGGAGAAGAAGCCCCGGCUAACUUCGUGCCAGCAGCCGCGGUAAU
This 450-nucleotide ribosomal RNA is filed under the name uncultured bacterium. Its description in RNAcentral is "bacterial SSU rRNA". It matches the Rfam family "Bacterial small subunit ribosomal RNA", at positions 43 to 524 of the family's 1533-position model. The record is from RNAcentral.